UACGGGGGGGGCAAGCGUUGUUCGGAAUUACUGGGCGUAAAGCGCACGUAGGCGGAUUUGUAAGUCAGGGGUGAAAUCCCGGGGCUCAACCUCGGAACUGCCUUUGAUACUGCAAAUCUCGAGUCCGGAAGAGGUGAGUGGAAUUCCUAGUGUAGAGGUGAAAUUCGUAGAUAUUAGGAAGAACACCAGUGGCGAAGGCGGCUCACUGGUCCGGUACUGACGCUGAGGUGCGAAAGCGUGGGGAGCAAACAGGG
This 254-nucleotide ribosomal RNA is filed under the name uncultured bacterium. RNAcentral describes it as "partial 16S ribosomal RNA". It matches the Rfam family "Bacterial small subunit ribosomal RNA", at positions 524 to 777 of the family's 1533-position model. The record is from RNAcentral.